UGCCAGCAGCCACGGUAAUACGGAGGGUGCGAGCGUUAAUCGGAAUUACUGGGCGUAAAGCGCACGUAGGCGGUUUAUUAAGUCGGAUGUGAAAGCCCCGGGCUCAACCUGGGAACUGCAUUCGAUACUGGUAGACUAGAAUUUGGGAGAGGUAAGUGGAAUUUCCGGUGUAGCGGUGAAAUGCAUAGAGAUCGGAAGGAACACCAGUGGCGAAGGCGGCUAACUGGCUCGGUACUGACGCUGAGAUGCGAAAGCGUGGGGAGCAAACAGGAUUAGAUA
Molecule: ribosomal RNA, 279 nt
Filed under: uncultured bacterium
Lineage: Bacteria
Description: partial 16S ribosomal RNA
Rfam family: Bacterial small subunit ribosomal RNA
Source: RNAcentral